GAGGAAGGAGGGGAAGUUUCUCAAACUUCAGUGGCAAGGAUUUGGGGAUUUGGAUAUGAUCAGAAAGGAAGGCAUCUGUGGUUCUGCCCCAGGAGGGCGAUGGGAGAGGGAUUCCUGUGGGUGCUUGGAGCCAAUAUCCAGGACAGGGAAGAGAGCCAGAGUGAGAGGGCUGGAAAAGCAUGGCUGGAUUUAAAACAAAAGACUUUUCAUAAACUUUUAAACCAGCCAGGGCUUAAUUGGCAAGGGACAGGGGGCUGGAAGGAAGGGGAGGCUCUCCCACCCGGGAUGGCAGGCAGCCACAGAGCGGGACGAGAGGUGUUGGUGUAGGCAGCCCCCACCAAGUCUUCCCUGACCUCGGCAUCCUGCCCCACUGGCCUCAUAAAAAUGCCAGCGUUAGUAGGCUUUGUAAUAAAACUUUAUUUUUUUUCCCCCAAGAAACCUUAUUUGGCACAAAUAACAGUGGAUUAAGAUCGGCAGCCGUGCCCCUGCUGUGCUCUAAUGUCCUGGCCAUCUUCAAAGGUGGCUAUGAAGAUCAGACAAGGACAGGUCAACCUCAGCAUUCGUGACAAAGUUUUCAUCACCUGGCCGUUCCCAGAGCACGGAUUCGAGAAGCCUCCUGGACACUGGUUGCAGUCCGGCCCGUAGAAGCCUUUGCAGCACUUUGGAGAUCAAACUGUCCUGUGAAAGAUGCCCUGCCUGCAUCAGGACCCAAGAGACAUCUUGUCACCAGAGACAGGAAGCUGAGGUCAAGAAAAACCUGCACCAAUGGACCUUGUUAAAAUAGCUGUGAACUUCCUCAAGCCUUCCUGUACGUUUUCGCGACUUUUCCACGAUUGCCUCUCUUUAGUCAACCUACUAUAUAAAAGUUUGGGUU
This is a long non-coding RNA of Felis catus (domestic cat), 874 nucleotides long. RefSeq lists it as uncharacterized. The transcript is spliced from 3 exons. The record is from RefSeq and is a predicted model, not a curated record. Lineage: Eukaryota; Metazoa; Chordata; Mammalia; Carnivora; Felidae.